UACGAGGGGUGCAAGCGUUAUUCGGAAUGACUGGGCGUAAAGGGUGUGUAGACGGUUCAUUAAGUCUGUUGUUAAAAACUCCGGCCUAACCGGAGAAGUGCAGCGGAAACUGAUGUGCUUGAGGAUGGAAGAGAGAAGUGGAAUUCCCGGAGUAGCGGUAAAAUGCGUAGAUCUCGGGAGGAACACCAAUGGCGAAGGCAGCUUCUUGGUCCAUUCCUGACGUUGAGACACGAAAGCGUGGGGAGCAAACAGG
Molecule: ribosomal RNA, 253 nt
Filed under: uncultured bacterium
Lineage: Bacteria
Description: partial 16S ribosomal RNA
Rfam family: Bacterial small subunit ribosomal RNA
Source: RNAcentral